RNAcentral lists this ribosomal RNA (725 nucleotides) under Tricholoma alpinum. Its description in RNAcentral is "partial small subunit ribosomal RNA". The stretch from base 422 to 686 matches the Rfam family "Bacterial small subunit ribosomal RNA", at positions 566 to 869 of the family's 1533-position model. Lineage: Eukaryota; Fungi; Basidiomycota; Agaricomycetes; Agaricales; Tricholomataceae. The record is from RNAcentral.
UCAUUUAUUAUGGUGAUUGUGAUAACAUAAGGGAAAAAAAUGAUGUUACCUUAUUAAUAGUGUUGUCCAAAACUGGUGCCAGAAGACUCGGUAAGGCCAGAGACGCAAACGUUAGUCAUCUUAAUCAGGCGUAAAGGGUGUGUAGGCUGCUUUGAAAGUUUAAAUCUUUAUAAUAGCUCUGUUACCGUACUACUAUAUUAUUUAAUUGAAUUAUUAAAAUUAAAAUUAAAAUUAUUUAAAAUAAAAAAUAAAUAAUAAUAAAUAAUAAAGAAUAAAUAUAAAUAUAAAUAUAAAUAUAAAUAUAAAUAUAAAUAUAAAUAUAACUAUAACUAUAAAUAUAAAUUAAAAAAUGUAGUAUAUAAAAUUUAUUAAACUAAACACUAAAUGAUAUUAAAAAUAAAAUAAAAAAUAAAAUAAUAUCCGUGUAUCAGUUAAGAAAUAAAUGAAUUAAAGCUAGAAUCAAAGGGAGGAUAAGCCAAAUAAUACUUAAUGUAGGGCUAAUAUCCGCAGAUAUUAAGGGGAAUACUAAAGGCGAAAGCUUUUUAUCUAUUAUUGAUUGACGCUGAGAAACGAAGGUGAGAAUAGGAAAUAGGAUUAGAUACCCAGAUACCUCUCACUGUCAACGAUGAAUGGUGGUUAGUUAGUUUUAAAAAAAACUAGUAGCGAUGUUAACACGAUAACCAUUCCGCCUUGCGAGUACGGUUGCAAAACUGAAACCAAAAAAA